AUGGCGGCUGCACGGGCGCACGUGGAGAGGCUCCGGCGGGAGCGGUACUACAUCGGGCGCGGCGGGCAGAACCCGCUGGCGGAGAACAUGCACCAGGCGGAGAACUACCUGAGCCAGGAGCUCUACUCCAAGGACGUCCACUUCCUCAUGGAGCUCGUCCAGAACGCUGAAGACAAUGAGUACCCUGAUGGAGUAGCACCGUCAUUGGAGUUUCUAGUAACAUCAACUGACAUCACUGGAUCUGGUGCAUCGUCAACUUUACUCAUUUUCAACAACGAGAAGGGCUUCUCUCCAUCGAAUAUUCAGUCUAUUUGUGGCGUGGGAAAAUCAACGAAAAAAGGAAACAGGGACAAGGGUUACAUUGGAGAGAAAGGUAUUGGAUUCAAAAGUGUGUUCCUGAUAUCAAGCCAGCCCCAUAUAUUUAGUAAUGGGUAUCAAAUCAAGUUUAAUGAGAAGCCGUGUCCAGAAUGCAAUAUUGGAUACAUUGUCCCAGAGUGGGUUGAAUCCAGGCCUAGCCUUUCAGAUAUCAAACAGAUAUAUGGGUCUACCAGAGUCCUUCCAACAACCUGUAUCGUCCUGCCUUUGAAGGAUGAGAAGGUCACUGCGGUGAAGCAGCAGCUUUCGAGCUUGCAUCCAGAAAUGCUACUGUUUCUGUCAAAGAUCAGGCGGCUUUCUGUCCGUGAAGAUAACGGCAACGCUAGAGGCAGCACUGUUAGUGAGAUUGCAAUAUCGAGUGAGAAGAACUUUGAAGUGAGGAAGAACAUGCAUGCGGAGUCUUACACGGUCUUUUUAUCUGCUCAAGAGAAUGAGAGUGAAGCAGAGUGCGGGUACCAUAUGUGGAGGUAG
This 846-nucleotide ribosomal RNA is filed under the name Triticum aestivum (bread wheat). RNAcentral's name for it is "partial small subunit ribosomal RNA". Lineage: Eukaryota; Viridiplantae; Streptophyta; Magnoliopsida; Poales; Poaceae. The record is from RNAcentral.